Molecule: ribosomal RNA, 119 nt
Filed under: Eucalyptus grandis
Lineage: Eukaryota; Viridiplantae; Streptophyta; Magnoliopsida; Myrtales; Myrtaceae
Source: RNAcentral
GGGAGCGAUCAUACCAGCACUAAUGCACCGGAUCCCAUCAGAACUCCGAAGUUCAGCGUGCUUGGGCGAGAGUAGUGCUAGGAUGGGUGACCUCUUGGGAAGUCCUCGUGUUGCACCCC